Molecule: long non-coding RNA, 2467 nt
Filed under: Homo sapiens (human)
Lineage: Eukaryota; Metazoa; Chordata; Mammalia; Primates; Hominidae
Description: HSALNT0370999
Source: RNAcentral
UAUGUCAAUUUCAUUUUCAACUCUAGAAUUUCCUCUUGAUUCUUUUUAAUUAUUUCUAUUUCCUUGUUACAUUCAUCUGAUAGGAAAUCUGAAUUCCUUCUCUGUGUCAUCUUGAAUUGCUUUGAGUUUCCUCAAUACAGCUCUUUCAAAUUGUCUGCCUGAAAGGUUGCCUAUUUUUGUUUCUCCGUGAUUGGUCCCUGGUGCCUUAUUCAGUUUGGUGAGGUCAUGUUUUCCUGCGUGGUGUUGAUGCUUAUGGAUAUUCAUCAGUGUCUGAGCAGUGAAGAGUUAGGCAUUUAUUGUAGUCUUCACAGUCUGGGCUUAUUUGUGCCUGUGAUUCUUGGGAAGGCUUUUCAGGUAUUCAAAGGGACUUGAACCCCGAACCCAAUAAAACUGUAGUUCUGCGGACUCGUAAAGGUACCACCUUAGUGGUCUUGGAGAAGAUCCAGAAGAAUUCUCUGCAUUACCAGGCAGAGAUUCUUGUUCUUUUCCCUUGCUUUCUUCCAAACAAAUGGAGUCUCUCUCUCUCUCUCUCCAAGCUAGGCCUCUUGGAACUGGGGGUGGAAGGACACAAGAACCCCUGUGGCCAUCACCACUGGGACUGCACUGGUUCAGACCUGAAGCAGCCCAGCACUGGGUCUCACCUAAGGUCUGCUAGAACUGCUACCUGGCCAUCACCUGAAUUCACUCAAGGGCCUGGGACUCUACAAUCAGCAGGUGGCAAAACCAGCCAGGGUGUUGUCCCUCCCUUCAGGGCAGUGAGUUCCCUGGGAAGGUCCAGAGAUGCUGUCUGGGAGCCAGGGAUUGAUAAACCUUAGAAUUCUAUUCUAAGAUAGAAUAGAAUUCUAUAGAUGUAUCAUUCCACUGCAGGUAAGCUGGCACUCAAACCACAAGACAAAGUCCUUCCCACUCUUCACUCCCCUUUCCUCAGUCAGAGGAACCUCUCCUUGUGGCCACCACUUCCACCAGCCUGCAAGGAGUUCUCCCAGGCCACUGCUGAUGUUCACAAAAACCCCGAGGGCUCUUCAGGCAGCCUGCGAUGAAUGCUAUCAGGCCUGUGACUCAUCCUUCAGGCAGUGGGCUCCCCUUGGCCCAGGGCAGGUCCGCAAAUGCUGACCAACAGCCUAGGCCUGUACUCAGGGACCCCAAGAGCCUGCUUGGUGCUCUACCCCACUGUGGCUGAGCUGGUACCUAAGGGGCAAGACAAAGUCCCCUUUACUCUUCCUCCUGCUUUUCUCAAACAGAAGGCAUCUUUCACUGUAGCCACCACAGCCGGAAAUGUGCUGGAUCACACCUGAAGCCAGCAUGUCUCAGAGCCCAGUGCCCACAGGUGGAUGGGAAGUAGGAUUUAGUGGUGAGUAUUAAGAAGGGGCAGCACAGCAGAAGCCCUCACGAGUGCAGGGCCCACUACUUGUCCAGAGGGCCACAAUGAGGAUGUACUUGACCCCACACCCAUCUCAGAUGAGCCACUUCUCAGCCACCGUGUCUUCAAAUUCAUCUUCACUGAACUUGGUGAAGACCCACUUCUGUGAGAUGUGGAUCUUCUGGCAGCCAGGAAACUUGAACUUGGCCCUGAGCAGGGCCUUAAUCACAUGCUCCUUGUUCUCUGGGUUCAAGGCGGAUGGACAUGAUAAUUGGCCAAUGUGAACCCCAGCCACGGUGCCCCGGGGCUUUCCAAAAGCACCUCACAUACCUUUUUGGAGCCUACACUGGGGUAGUGCAAGGUCAGAGACAUGAACAUCCAUCUGAGGGCCUGUCUCCAAGGUCCCUUAGAGCAGCCAUACAAGAAACAGGCUGCAUACACCACCAAGGAAGCUGCUGUUUGCAGCCAUUGCACACGUCCCCCAUGAGGCGAGGAACUCAGCCAGCUGAGUUGGCUGUAGAUGCCCGCAGCAUAUUACCUGGCUAUGGCUGUUGGUUAUACAGGGCCCAGGGGCUCCUUAGUCAGCAGAUGAUGAAUGCUGCCAGGUCUCUGCUGUGAUGGGACAGCACUGAGUUCAAUGUAAAGUCCCCAAGUUGCUAGCUCUCCCUCUCCCAAAUGCACAGAUCUGUCUGUGCCACAUGGCCACUGCCAGGGGUGGGAGUAGGGGGUGGCCCAAAGAACUCCCUUAGCUGCCCCAGCUAAUGUCUCAGGAGGUUGUGUGCCCCUGACUCCACAGUCCACUGGUUGUGAGCCCAGCUCGGCACUCGGGUUUGCCUGUGAAUUGCAGUCCUGAUGGCCUAAACUGCCCCUCAAGUCUGCUAAGGGCCCCAGAGCACUCCAGCUCGCAGUGGCAAGGCUUGCCAGAACUCAAGCUCCAACUGCUAAGAUGGGCAAUUCCGGCAUUUUGUUGUCUGAAGUUUGUUAUUUCUCUGGAAGAGAUCAUGGGAAUAAUAGCACCUGAGGUCUUCUGUCACAGCAUGGCACGUCAGGGUCUUCUCUACCCAAAUAAUGUUCUUUGUUGGUGUAUAGAACUGCUACUAGCCUGGG